This 265-nucleotide ribosomal RNA is filed under the name Listeria monocytogenes. Its description in RNAcentral is "partial 16S ribosomal RNA". It matches the Rfam family "Bacterial small subunit ribosomal RNA", at positions 424 to 681 of the family's 1533-position model. Lineage: Bacteria; Bacillati; Bacillota; Bacilli; Caryophanales; Listeriaceae. The record is from RNAcentral.
CGUAAAGUACUGUUGUAAGAGAAGAACAAGGAUAAGAGUAACUGCUUGUCCCUUGACGGUAUCUACCCAGAAAGCCACGGCUAACUACGUGCCAGCAGCCGCGGUAAUACGUAGGUGGGAAGCGUUGUCCGGAUUUAUUGGGCGUAAAGCGCGCGCAGGCGGUCUUUUAAGUCUGAUGUGAAAGCCCCCCGCUUAACCGGGGAGGGUCAUUGGAAACUGGAAGCCUGGAGUGCAGAAGAGGAGCGUGGAAUUCCACGUGUAGCGG